RNAcentral lists this ribosomal RNA (164 nucleotides) under Anthoxanthum monticola subsp. alpinum. Its description in RNAcentral is "5.8S ribosomal RNA". It matches the Rfam family "5.8S ribosomal RNA". Rfam says of the family: 5.8S ribosomal RNA (5.8S rRNA) is a component of the large subunit of the eukaryotic ribosome. It is transcribed by RNA polymerase I as part of the 45S precursor that also contains 18S and 28S rRNA. Lineage: Eukaryota; Viridiplantae; Streptophyta; Magnoliopsida; Poales; Poaceae. The record is from RNAcentral.
CACAUGACUCUCGGCAACGGAUAUCUCGGCUCUCGCAUCGAUGAAGAACGUAGCGAAAUGCGAUACCUGGUGUGAAUUGCAGAAUCCCGCGAACCAUCGAGUCUUUGAACGCAAGUUGCGCCCGAGGCCUUUCGGCUGAGGGCACGCCUGCCUGGGCGUCACGC